CCUACGGGGGGCUGCAGUGGGGAAUAUUGCACAAUGGGCGCAAGCCUGAUGCAGCCAUGCCGCGUGUAUGAAGAAGGCCUUAGGGUUGUAAAGUACUUUCAGCGGGGAGGAAGGUGAUAAGGUUAAUACCCUUAUCAAUUGACGUUACCCGCAGAAGAAGCACCGGCUAACUCCGUGCCAGCAGCCGCGGUAAUACGGAGGGUGCAAGCGUUAAUCGGAAUUACUGGGCGUAAAGCGCACGCAGGCGGUCAAUUAAGUCAGAUGUGAAAGCCCCGAGCUUAACUUGGGAAUUGCAUCUGAAACUGGUUGGCUAGAGUCUUGUAGAGGGGGGUAGAAUUCCAUGUGUAGCGGUGAAAUGCGUAGAGAUGUGGAGGAAUACCGGUGGCGAAGGCGGCCCCCUGG
RNAcentral lists this ribosomal RNA (402 nucleotides) under uncultured Gemella sp. Its description in RNAcentral is "bacterial SSU rRNA". It matches the Rfam family "Bacterial small subunit ribosomal RNA", at positions 338 to 732 of the family's 1533-position model. The record is from RNAcentral. Lineage: Bacteria; Bacillati; Bacillota; Bacilli; Caryophanales; Gemellaceae.